Molecule: long non-coding RNA, 421 nt
Organism: Entelurus aequoreus (snake pipefish)
Lineage: Eukaryota; Metazoa; Chordata; Actinopteri; Syngnathiformes; Syngnathidae
Exons: 2
Source: RefSeq, a predicted model, not a curated record
UUUUGUGUCCCCCCCCCCCACCCCCCCAUUCACGUACGAUCCAAAGGCGCCACGUUACGUCACGCCCGGUUGCCGGCCAUCACUCCAGCAGCACUGAGAGCGGGCUCACCCCAAAACGACCUUGAGCGGCCCCUGCGGGAUUCAGCCGAGUGACUGGUGGAGAUGGACGUAAUGAGACAGGUCCAUGCAGGCUGGGAGACGGCGGCCGGGCCAUAAACAAGGUGAAAAGCAAUCAGGUGAGGGCGGGCUGCGAGUCUCAAGAGGAGAGCGGGCGGAGACAAAGACAAAGACAUGAUUUUCACCACAGAAAUGACAUUUUGCUUCCAGUCGGCUCUCGUUUUAUUUAUUUUUUACGCUCGUCCUUAUGUGAGUAACAGCUCACCUUAUAUCAUACCCUUUGUAAUUACAGGUAUAUGCUACA